AGAGUUUGAUCCUGGCUCAGGAUGAACGCUAGCGGCAGGCUUAACACAUGCAAGUCGAGGGGUAACAUUGUAGCUUGCUACAGAUGACGACCGGCGCACGGGUGCGUAACGCGUAUACAAUCUACCUUUUGCUGAGGGAUAGCCCAGAGAAAUUUGGAUUAACACCUCAUGGUAUUAUAGAACUGCAUGGUUUUAUAAUUAAAGGUUACGGCAAGAGAUGAGUAUGCGUCCUAUUAGCUAGAUGGUAAGGUAACGGCUUACCAUGGCAACGAUAGGUAGGGGCCCUGAGAGGGGGAUCCCCCACACUGGUACUGAGACACGGACCAGACUCCUACGGGAGGCAGCAGUGAGGAAUAUUGGGCAAUGGAGGCAACUCUGACCCAGCCAUGCCGCGUGCAGGAAGACUGCCCUAUGGGUUGUAAACUGCUUUUAUACAGGAAGAAACAGCUCUACGUGUAGAGCCUUGACGGUACUGUAAGAAUAAGGAUCGGCUAACUCCGUGCCAGCAGCCGCGGUAAUACGGAGGAUCCAAGCGUUAUCCGGAAUCAUUGGGUUUAAAGGGUCCGUAGGUGGAUAAUUAAGUCAGAGGUGAAAUCCUGCAGCUCAACUGUAGAAUUGCCUUUGAAACUGGUUAUCUUGAGUCAUUAUGAAGUGGUUAGAAUGUGUAGUGUAGCGGUGAAAUGCAUAGAUAUUACAUAGAAUACCGAUUGCGAAGGCAGUCUACUAAGUGUUUACUGACGCUGAUGGACGAAAGCGUGGGGAGCGAACAGGAUUAGAUACCCUGGUAGUCCACGCCGUAAAUGAUGGUCACUAGUUGUUGGGGCGCAAGCUUCAGUGAUUAAUAGAAAUUGAUAAGUGACCCACCUGGGGAGUACGAUCGCAAGAUUGAAACUCAAAGGAAUUGACGGGGGCCCGCACAAGCGGU
This 925-nucleotide ribosomal RNA is filed under the name uncultured Cytophaga sp. Its description in RNAcentral is "bacterial SSU rRNA". It matches the Rfam family "Bacterial small subunit ribosomal RNA", at positions 8 to 933 of the family's 1533-position model. The record is from RNAcentral. Lineage: Bacteria; Pseudomonadati; Bacteroidota; Cytophagia; Cytophagales; Cytophagaceae.